RNAcentral lists this ribosomal RNA (253 nucleotides) under uncultured bacterium. RNAcentral describes it as "partial 16S ribosomal RNA". It matches the Rfam family "Bacterial small subunit ribosomal RNA", at positions 524 to 776 of the family's 1533-position model. The record is from RNAcentral.
GACGGAGGGGGCUAGCGUUGUUCGGAAUUACUGGGCGUAAAGGGCGCGUAGGCGGAUUAGUAAGUUGGGAGUGAAAGCCCGGGGCUUAACCUCGGAAUAGCUUUCAAAACUGCUAAUCUUGAGUGAAGUAGGGGGUGAUGGAAUUCCUAGUGUAGAGGUGAAAUUCUUAGAUAUUAGGAGGAACACCGGUGGCGAAGGCGGUCACCUGGGCUUCAACUGACGCUGAGGCGCGAAAGCGUGGGGAGCAAACAGG